This is a non-coding RNA of Myotis davidii, 76 nucleotides long. The record is from Rfam. Lineage: Eukaryota; Metazoa; Chordata; Mammalia; Chiroptera; Vespertilionidae.
GGUGGUUCUCAGAUGACACAUCCAAGAACCAGGGUCCCUCCUCUCUGGUUCUGGGGUACAUCACCCAAGAAGCACU